This 607-nucleotide long non-coding RNA is filed under the name Nicotiana benthamiana. RNAcentral's name for it is "long non-coding RNA (NBEN_LNC026413)". Lineage: Eukaryota; Viridiplantae; Streptophyta; Magnoliopsida; Solanales; Solanaceae. The record is from RNAcentral.
UGUUCCAACACCACGUAGGUAAAUGCUCUUCGAGCUGCUUUAAUUUGGUUCUUUAUAAAUGGUUAUAACUUGGACGUGGCAAAGCUCAUUCACAAUAAGAUGUUUACUCGUUGUUCGAUGUAGAGGUAUGGUUUCUUCUUCCGUUCCUUAGUCACUAGGAUCUUCUGGGCAGCUCGGGUGCCGAAAAAUUUGAAUGUGGAUGGGAUAAGCCAAGAGACUCCAAGUUCUGAGCUGAUAAGAUAACUACUGAGAAGGAGCCUGUGGCAGUUCGUGGUGAUGAUAGUAUCGAAUCUGAUGACUCUGAGGAAGGGGAGGAUGAAAAGGAGUAAGAAAGGGUCGAGUCAGCGGCCCAUGAGCAUAUUGCAUAGGCUGCAGGACCAUAUAAGGUUGGUCAUGUUACCUGUUUCAUAGCCUUAGAGUGGGAGGCGGCAAGAUUGCGUACCUUGGUCAAUGACUUAGGUACAAGUGUUGAUGCGAUAGCCACCUAACAACUGAAACCGGAGAAGAAAAUAUUGGGCUGGCUGGAAGCUCUGGGUCGAUGCCGUUUGAAGACGGUCCCCGACUAGAGCGAUCAAUCAGGGAAGUUCCUUUACCUCACUAUUCUUUA